Molecule: non-coding RNA, 365 nt
Organism: Anas platyrhynchos (mallard)
Lineage: Eukaryota; Metazoa; Chordata; Aves; Anseriformes; Anatidae
Source: RefSeq, a predicted model, not a curated record
CAGUCAUAAAAUGAACUAUUCUUUGGAAAGUGAAAUGUCACUGAAAAGUAAAUUUGUGACAGAACUGAUUGUGAAGAUUGUUGGAAACUAAGGUGUGCUGGAAGACACCUUAGUUUCCAACUGUGGGGGAGAGCCGGAUGAAGUGGAGGCAAUAUAUUUGCUCACGGCCAGAACAACCUAUGCCAGCUCCCACUUGCAAAAGGGCAGUUCAAUACAAUAUUACCAGAAUAAAAGAUAAUAGAAUGCAUGAAUUGAUUGGAGAAACAAAAAGAGUUCUUCAGGACUAGAAGUGCUGAAUGAUUAUUUUAAUGACUACAUACAUAUGUGAGGAGAAAAGAAAGAUGUCACCAGUAGAGAGGAAUGCA